Molecule: non-coding RNA, 783 nt
Organism: Leptonychotes weddellii (Weddell seal)
Lineage: Eukaryota; Metazoa; Chordata; Mammalia; Carnivora; Phocidae
Source: RefSeq, a predicted model, not a curated record
GAUGCGCAGGCGCAAUAAAUACACCUUGACUUCCGCGCGCUUCGGAAGAUAUAAAUAAGGAUGCCCUGGGGCUUGCUCGGUCUUUUCGAGAACGAUUGGGGCUCUGCGCGGAAGUCGGGUGCUUCUCAGAGUCCUCUGGACGAUGACUGAGGGGAUAAACCAUGCAGGAAACAGCUCCCUCUAUCUGGAUCUAAGUUGAUUGGAAAGAAAAACCUUUUCUCAGCUGCUGUACUAUUGGAUUAAGCUCUUGCCUACCUUAUUUUGCAGUGAUCACGCAGGAUUCCAAAUAAAUUUUGACUUGAGGAGAGAAGAGGAGCCUCACCAAUCAUUGGCAGUUAACACCCGUUUGGGUCCUUUAUUUGGCAGGGAGGGUUGGUAAAAUGAAUGAUAAAUGCUGUUUUUAUAAGAUAAGCCUGGAGGUUUGGAAACUUGGGCAUAUUUGACCUCUUUAAAAAACUGAAUACUAAAUUUGGGGAACAAGUUGAAUGUUCCAAAGGACGGGCCCAUUGAAAUUUAGGGAAUGUGGACAGCACUGAAUAUAGGCAUGUCUUAACAAUCUGGUCCUUUGAUCCACAAAGCCCAAAGAUUCCAGAAUGCCUAUGAGGAGAAAACUUAAGGAAGCUAAGAUGCUACUUGGCCUUUUCUACUGUUCUCAAGUAAACUGGGUUUUCUAACUAUAUAACUGAAUGGAAAACAGAAGCCUAUCAGAUCCUAAGUGUCUUAUUAAAGAUCCAGGUCUGUUUAUAAUGUAUUUAUGAAUUAAAAUAAAGAUGACUGCGUAUU